Molecule: transfer RNA, 75 nt
Filed under: Candidatus Moranbacteria bacterium CG_4_10_14_3_um_filter_41_65
Lineage: Bacteria; Candidatus Moraniibacteriota
Description: tRNA-Lys
Rfam family: tRNA
About the family: Transfer RNA (tRNA) molecules are approximately 80 nucleotides in length. Their secondary structure includes four short double-helical elements and three loops (D, anti-codon, and T loops). Further hydrogen bonds mediate the characteristic L-shaped molecular structure. tRNAs have two regions of fundamental functional importance: the anti-codon, which is responsible for specific mRNA codon recognition, and the 3' end, to which the tRNAs corresponding amino acid is attached (by aminoacyl-tRNA synthetases). tRNAs cope with the degeneracy of the genetic code in two manners: having more than one tRNA (with a specific anti-codon) for a particular amino acid; and 'wobble' base-pairing, i.e. permitting non-standard base-pairing at the 3rd anti-codon position.
Source: RNAcentral
CGCAUAGCUCAGUUGGUAGAGCAGUGGCCUCUUAAGCCAACGGUCGCAGGUUCGAUCCCUGCUGCGCCCACACCA